This 530-nucleotide ribosomal RNA is filed under the name uncultured bacterium. Its description in RNAcentral is "bacterial SSU rRNA". It matches the Rfam family "Bacterial small subunit ribosomal RNA", at positions 8 to 526 of the family's 1533-position model. The record is from RNAcentral.
AGAGUUUGAUCCUGGCUCAGAUUGAACGCUGGCGGCAUGCCUAACACAUGCAAGUCGAACGGCAGCAUGAGGUGUAGCAAUACACCUUGAUGGCGAGUGGCGGACGGGUGAGGAAUGCAUCGGAAUCUGCCCAGUCGUGGGGGACAACGCAGGGAAACUUGCGCUAAUACCGCAUACGACCUUCGGGUGAAAGCAGGGGAUCUUCGGACCUUGCGCGAUUGGAUGAGCCGAUGCCGGAUUAGCUAGUUGGCGGGGUAAAAGCCCACCAAGGCGACGAUCCGUAGCUGGUCUGAGAGGAUGAUCAGCCACACUGGACUGAGACACGGCCCAGACUCCUACGGGAGGCAGCAGUGGGGAAUAUUGGACAAUGGGGGCAACCCUGAUCCAGCAAUGCCGCGUGUGUGAAGAAGGCCUUCGGGUUGUAAAGCACUUUUAUCGGGAACGAAACAUUGUCGGCUAAUACCCGGCAAGACUGACGGUACCCGAGGAAUAAGCACCGGCUAACUCCGUGCCAGCCGCCGCGGUAAUAC